This 32-nucleotide non-coding RNA is filed under the name Homo sapiens (human). The record is from RNAcentral. Lineage: Eukaryota; Metazoa; Chordata; Mammalia; Primates; Hominidae.
UCUGUGUUCAGCAGUGCACGUAUUGUCUUGAU